GUUAUGUCAAAUCUACCAGCCAUCACCAUGGAGGAAGUGGCCCCCGUGAGUGUUAGCGAUGCAACUCUGCUGGCCCCGGAGGAGAUCAAGGAGAAAAAUAAAGCUGGAGAUAUAAAAACAGCUGCUGAGAAAACAGCUACAGACAAGAAACGAGAACGGAG
Long non-coding RNA from Otolemur garnettii (small-eared galago), 161 nucleotides. RefSeq lists it as uncharacterized. Lineage: Eukaryota; Metazoa; Chordata; Mammalia; Primates; Galagidae. The record is from RefSeq and is a predicted model, not a curated record. The transcript is spliced from 2 exons.